This 253-nucleotide ribosomal RNA is filed under the name uncultured bacterium. RNAcentral describes it as "partial 16S ribosomal RNA". It matches the Rfam family "Bacterial small subunit ribosomal RNA", at positions 524 to 776 of the family's 1533-position model. The record is from RNAcentral.
UACAGAGGGUGCAAGCGUUAAUCGGAAUUACUGGGCGUAAAGCGCGCGUAGGCGGCUGCCUAAGUCGGGUGUGAAAGCCCCGGGCUCAACCUGGGAACUGCACUCGAUACUGGGCGGCUAGAGUAUGAGAGAGGGAGGUAGAAUUCCACGUGUAGCGGUGAAAUGCGUAGAUAUGUGGAGGAAUACCGGUGGCGAAGGCGGCCUCCUGGCUCAAUACUGACGCUGAGGUGCGAAAGCGUGGGGAGCAAACAGG